CUUAAUGCUGUGGUGUCGUUAACAGUACUUGAUAAGGCCCUUCCCACUUGGGAGAGUGCCAGUGUUUUCUUUUUACACUUUUACUCAACACUCAGUCUCCUGGUGUCAAUCUCAUGUCUUCUAUCAAAGUGGAAUCUUCAUCAGUUUCCUACACAUUUUCGAACUGUGUCAACCUAUAAGGUUUAACAAACAACGUUUCAUAUGGACUCAAACCAUUUGUGCCAUUAUGUUUAUUUGUAAUUUAACAAGAUCUAAACAUUAUGUCCUUCGACACUUUGUUUCUUCCAUGCAUUUUCUGUUCUACCAGUCCUCCACUUUGGGGAUGGUACGCGCUAUGGUUCUUUAAGUCCAUGUGGAACAUUGUUGCUGUUUUCUUUCCAUUUUUUUUUCUUUUCUUUUACAAUUUGAUUUACAAAGAGACUGCUGUAGUCUAAUUCUGUUUCAUUCAAAACAUAUUCCAUGCAGAUUAGAUGAAUGCCAUGUUAAACUGUGAUCAGUACCUGUCAACCACUAGUAAAGUUAGUACACUGUAAAACAUAACAUGGAGCUUAAUAAAAAAUACCAAGUGAACCUAACUAACUUUUCGUCAAUCUGUUACGAACACUCAAUUUAAGCAAGUACCAUGUAAUUAGAAGAUGAAAAAGUUGAACAACUCAAUAUGUCUCAGUUGUAUUAAUGUAGAAAAAAUAAGUUAUUAGUGAGAUGUGUUUAGUUGAUCAAUUCACACAAGCGCAAAGGAGCCCUCAUCUAUUUGGCGCUUAAUUAACUUCCGUGUCCUGACAAGUCCAGCGAGCGGAUGUCCAUGCUACUGAAGUGGUCACUUUUGUCGGGAUUGCUUUGAUUCCUGUGCUUCGAACGCUUUGACGGCAACGGAGCUGUGAGAAGAUGGAGAAGGCCCAGCGGGACCAGAAAAGCUGGUAUGAUAGAGCUGCGAGGCAACAAUCCUUUGAAGCAGGUCAGAAAGUUAUUUUAAUGCUACCGACAUCGGACAAUAAGUUACUGGUAAAAUGGAAGGGACCAUAUACGGUCAGUGACACUGUUUAUGAGAUAGAAGUGCCUGAGCGAAGAAAUGCGCAGCAGACUUUUCACAUCAAUAUGCUAAAAGAGUGGAAAUCCCGAGACGCCACCUGUAGCCCGCAGUUUUUUGUCCAGGCAGUGCAAGAAGAGGAGGAGGGAGACGCCUGGAACCACUGCCCUGGUACGACAUGACAUCCAGCUGACUGACAGCACCCCCAUCAGGCAGCGGAUGUACCGGAUUCCGGAGAGGAUGGUUCCAGUGCUUUUGGAGGAGGUCGAGGUCAUGCGUAAGCUGGGAGUUAUUGAGCCUUCCACCAGUGAAUGGAGUAACCCUGUUGUUCUGGUCAUCAAGAAGGAUGGGAGCAUCCGCUUUUGCAUUGACUUCCGUAAGGUAAAUGCACAAUCAAAGUUCGAUGCCUUCCCUCUGCCCAGACUUGAUGACCUGAUAUAGCGUGUCGGCCAGUCACGGUUCAUCAGUACACUGGACUUAUGUAAGGGGUAUUGGCAAGUUCCCCUUAAUGAGGCUGCCAAGCCUCUCACCACUUUCUGGACCCCUCAUGGACUGUGGCAGUUCACAAAGAUUUUGGACUCCAUGGUGCUCCUGCCACCUUUCAAAGACUGAUGAACAAGGUUUUGUCAGGUAUGGAAUCAUUUUCUGUGGCAUACCUUGAUGACGUUAUCAUCCACAGCAAUUCAUGGCAGGAACAUCUGCGCCACCUGGAAGCUGUUCUGGGCCGGAUAAAGCAAGCGGGCUUGACAAUAAACCCCAAAAAGUGUUCAAUAGCCAGGCAGGAACUACAAUACCUGGGCCAUAUCCUGGGAAAUGGGGUGAUCCGCCAUGUGAAGGACAAGGUGGAGACUGUGAGAGCGACGGAGAGACCAACCACCAGGAAGCAGGUUCGCUCUUUCUAGGCCUGGUGGGAUGGCACAGGAGGUUCAUUCCGAACUUUUCAGCCCGAGCUGUACCCCUCUCGGACCUCACUCGAGCCAGCCAGACCAGGUGGGUCUGGGGAGAAAAGCAGCAGCAAGCUUUUCAGGAUCUCAAAGAAGCCCUGUGUCAUGAGCCUGUUCUUCAGAGUCCAAACUUCGACAUGCUAUUCGUCGUCCAGACGGAUGCUUCUCUCCGAGGGAUUGGUGGAGUUCUGCUGCAGGAGGGGGCGGAGGACAGGAAACACGUGGCCGGAAGCUGUUCCCACGUGAGAUGCGCUACUUGACGGUGGAACUUGAAUGUUUGGCCAUCAAGUGGGUGAUCGACUCCUUCAAAUACUAUCUUCUGGGGAAGGAGUUCACACUGGAAACGGACCAUCGGGCACUCCAGUGGCUCGAAACUAUGAAGGAUACAAACAGCCGCAUCACCAGAUGGUUCCUGUCCCUUCAACCCUACAAGUUCAACAUCCGGUAUGUGCCUGGGAGGCAGAACACCGUAGCAGACUUCUUGUCGCGCCAGGAGGAAGGCAGAUCUUUCGAAGGGGGAGGGAGUGUGAGGGAGCUGCCAAUCCCCCCUCACUGAUCAGGUGUAUGCCCCACCUACACUGUCCGGUUUCUCUUUGUGUAUAUAGUUGGCUUUAGUUAUUUACAUAUAUUUUGGUUAGUGCUUUAAUUAUAUGUGUUUGCCGUUUAAGUGCCACUUUAGUUAGUUAGUUUUUCAUUCAGAAGUCAUUUGUGUUGUUCCUAAUUUCUCAUUAGUUUCUCCUUUUGUUUGAGGUGAUUGGUCGUGGCCCAAACAUGGAGGUGCGCCCAUGGGAGUGCAGGCCAGAGGCUGAUCACCUCAAUUGGACUCUCCCAAGUGCCACCUGGAGGAGGGGGGGAUUGGGUGGUAGUUGGGGAAUCCAA
Molecule: non-coding RNA, 2850 nt
Organism: Doryrhamphus excisus (bluestripe pipefish)
Lineage: Eukaryota; Metazoa; Chordata; Actinopteri; Syngnathiformes; Syngnathidae
Source: RefSeq, a predicted model, not a curated record